RNAcentral lists this ribosomal RNA (370 nucleotides) under Cochlicella conoidea. RNAcentral describes it as "partial large subunit ribosomal RNA". It matches the Rfam family "Bacterial large subunit ribosomal RNA", at positions 1947 to 2610 of the family's 2925-position model. Lineage: Eukaryota; Metazoa; Mollusca; Gastropoda; Stylommatophora; Geomitridae. The record is from RNAcentral.
UGUGCAAAGGUAGCAUAAUCAGUUGGCUUAUAAUUGAAGUCUUGUAUGAAUGUAGCUAUAGGUAAAUGCUGUCUCUGAGUUGUACAUAGAACUUACUAGGUCGGUGAAAAAGCCGACAGAAAUGAAAUAGACGAGAAGACCCUAGAAAUUUUUUGAAGUGUAUAGUGUGUAUAUUAGAUUUUGUUGGGGCGACAGGGUAACAUAAAACUUACCUUAUCAAAUGAGAACUAUUUGUGAAAACGUAAAUUACUCUAGGGAUAACAGCAUAAUUCUUGAGAGUUUGUGACCUCGAUGUUGGACUAGGAAAGGUAAUGUUCAGAAGAUACUAUUAUUGGCUCUGUUCGAGCUGUUAUUCCUACAUGAUCUGAGU